UUCUAAGGGCGUUGAAGCAUGAUCGCAAGGACAUGUGGAGCGCUUAGAAGUGAGAAUGCCGGUGUGAGUAGCGAAAGACGGGUGAGAAUCCCGUCCACCGAUUGACUAAGGUUUCCAGAGGAAGGCUCGUCCGCUCUGGGUUAGUCGGGUCCUAAGCUGAGGCCGACAGGCGUAGGCGAUGGAUAACAGGUUGAUAUUCCUGUACCACCAUUAUUCGUUUUAAGCGAUGGGGGGACGCAGUAGGAUAGGCGAAGCGUGCUGUUGGAGUGCACGUCCAAGCAGUGAGAUUGAGUGUUAGGCAAAUCCGGCACUCUUAAGAUUGAGCUGUGAUGGGGAGAGGAACUUGUUCCUCGAGUCGUUGAUUUCACACUGCCGAGAAAAGCCUCUAGCUAGAAUAACGGUGCCCGUACCGCAAACCGACACAGGUAGUCAAGAUGAGAAUUCUAAGGUGAGCGAGCGAACUCUCGUUAAGGAACUCGGCAAAAUGACCCCGUAACUU
RNAcentral lists this ribosomal RNA (499 nucleotides) under Staphylococcus pseudintermedius. RNAcentral describes it as "partial 23S ribosomal RNA". It matches the Rfam family "Bacterial large subunit ribosomal RNA", at positions 1239 to 1736 of the family's 2925-position model. Lineage: Bacteria; Bacillati; Bacillota; Bacilli; Caryophanales; Staphylococcaceae. The record is from RNAcentral.